RNAcentral lists this long non-coding RNA (942 nucleotides) under Homo sapiens (human). Its description in RNAcentral is "HSALNT0235830". Lineage: Eukaryota; Metazoa; Chordata; Mammalia; Primates; Hominidae. The record is from RNAcentral.
GAGACAGGGUCUCACUCUGUCACUCAGGCUGGAGAGCACUGACACCAUCAUGGCUCACUGCAGCCUGUAACUCUUGGGCUCAUGGGAUCCUCCAACCUUAGCCUCCCGAGUAGCUGAGACUACAGGUGGGGGGAUGGCUUGAGCCCAUGAUUUUGAGAGCAGCCCUGGCAAAAGAGUGAGAUCUUGUCUCUACAAAAAAAUUUAAAAAGCCAAGUGUGGCCAAGCGUGGCCAAGCGUGCUGGUGUGCGCCUGUGGUCCCAGUUACUUGGGAGGCUGAGGUAGGAGGUCACCUGAGCCUCCUGGGAGGUCAAGGCUGCCCCCUAGCCUGGGCAACAAGACCCUGUCUGCAAAAAAAGAGAAAACCAAGCAGCUAACCCAGCCUGUGUCGUGACAAUGCCGGCUGAGCACACGUGUGGAGGAAGGAGAGGAAGGGAUGAUGGCCCAGCCUGUGUCGUGACGAUGCCAGCUGAGCACAAGUGUGGAGGAAGGGGAGGAAGGGAUGAUGGCAUGCCUAUCCUUACACACAGGUAACAAUCCUCACAGGUUGCUGUCACCAGGACUCUCACCACACCUGGCCUGCCAGCAAUUUUAGAAUUCAACGUUUCUCACAUCUGGGCAGGGUGCUGUGGGGCUCACGUCUUUAAUCCCAGCACUUUGGGAGGCGAGGUAGGAGGAUCACUUGAGCUCAGGAGUUCAAGACCAGCCUGGGCACCAUAGUGAAACCUCAUUUCUACAAAAAAUAAAAAAAUUGGCUGGGCGUGGUGGCGCACGCCUAUAAUCUCAGCACUUUGGGAGGUCGAGGUGAGUGAAUCACGACGUCAGGAGUUCAAGACCAGCCUGGCCAAAUUGGUGAAACCCCGUCUCUACUAAAAUACAAAAAUUAGCCAGGUGUGGUGGCAGGCGCCUGUAAUCCCAGCUACUUGCGAGGCUGAGGCAGUGAAC